Molecule: long non-coding RNA, 4748 nt
Organism: Gorilla gorilla gorilla (western lowland gorilla)
Lineage: Eukaryota; Metazoa; Chordata; Mammalia; Primates; Hominidae
Exons: 3
Source: RefSeq, a predicted model, not a curated record
UAGAAGUCUCCUUAUGGAAAGUCUUUACAAGUGUCCUUUACUAAUCACUUCAGUUAAGGAUGGGCCAGAGGCCAUGCGUGUUUUCAAGGCUUUGAGUGAGGACUGCCCCCAAGUGAUCUCUAGAAAAAAUACAUCCAUUUACACCUUAGUGUCUGAGAGCACUGAUUUCUGUAAUCUCUGAGCAACACAAUUUUUUUAAACUUUUGCCAGUUUGGUAUGCUUGCCUGAUUUGUAAGGGAACUGAAAGCACCCUUUUUGGCCUCUGCAACACUUAAAAGUACGUCUCACAAGACCCUCUGCCCACCCUUUCCUAGCGCUUAAGUCUUCCCAAAGAUGAGGUACAGCAUUUCGGUAAUAAUGAAAAGAGAUAUCACCACAGUCACUUGAAAAGUGAAGAACUUGGCCUCCUAGUGGGUAACAACCACAUUCUAAUGCACCUCUUUGCUAAGCCCUUGCUCUUCACAAUAAUGACAACUCAAUACGGAUAUAUUCACACUAUUGUCUCUAGUCCCCCGUUUGUCUAACCUUGAAAUGUUUGACUUGAAGGUUGAUGAAAACAGGAUCAUAUCCUUAAGUAAGGCCUAUCUUGGGAAUACUAUGUCUUUCAUAGGUCUAAUAUGACCUAUGAUGUGAUGGAAAAACCAUGGUCCUUAUUUUACAGGUGAGUAUAGGUGCUUGGAGAGGUUAAGGAAAUCACCCUGAUCCAAUAGCUGGUAACCUGCGAGGCAUAUCAUAUCUCAUGACUAUGGUAACUUCAAGCAUUACGUCGUCACACAACUAUUCAAGCCUGGAUGAAAGCAUGAACCAGCAUGGACAAGUAACAAACAGUUUGAAGACCAGGCUGAGUUCAUGACCACACUUGUUGACUCUGGUGACUUCAUAAGCUGGCCCCUGCCUGCCUCGCCUGCCUCUUGUCUGCUGCUCCUUUUGAUUCACCUACAACAAGCUGUUCUCUGUUACCAGAAUAUGCCACGUAUUUUGUUUUACUUCUGGGACUGACUUUACAAUCUUCUUUCUUCCUGGAAUGCCCUCCUCUAGCUGGGGAAAACCUACUCAUCUUUUUAGACCAGAUUAAAAGUCACUUUCCCUGUGAUGUUUUCUCGUGGAAAAAAAUAUUUUUUUAAGAGACAGUGGUCUCACUAUGUUGCCUAGGCUGGUCUCAAACUCCUGGGCACAAGCGAUCCUCCCAUCUCAGCCUCCCAAAAUACUAGGAUUACAGACAUAAGCCAUCACGCCCCCAACCUCAUGAAUUUUAGUUAGGUUAUAGCAGUAUAGUAAAAAUCCCUAUGGAUUGAAUUAUUUGCACCCUCAUAAGUGUUUUUUCUUUGAAUCCUAAGUACACUUAUUUUAUUGGAUUACAGUUUCUGAGUCAGUAUCCGGGAUAGACCGAAAGUUUCUUGAAGUGAUAAUUGUCUUAUUCAUCUUUAUAUCCCCUGUUCUUGGAACACAUAGUCUGUCCUGAAUAAAUGCCUAUUGAAUUGAAUCAGCUCAACAAAUGAGAAAAUUUAUGUUUCUUUCCUUUUUUCUUUCCCAGUUGUUUUUUAUUGUGUUCUGCCUUCAUGUUUGUGUAUUUCCUUAUAAGAACAUACCAUUUUGACAGACAGUACAUUUUUUCUUUCCUUUUCUAUCAAAUCUGGACUUAAACAAGACACAACUUUUCAUUGUUGUGUUCUGAUCACAGGUCCUAUCCUGUGGGCAUCAAUGUCACUAUUACUGCAGGCCACUAUUACUGCAGUGUAAUGUCACUAUUACAUGCACCCGUAAUUCUCUGACAUGUAUGCCACCCUGGCAAUGUACCCAAAUUUCCAACAGCAAUAGAUGAGCUUGUAUAUGCACACAUGUAAACUCCCGAAAGUACCUGGUAGGAUGUUAUUAAUAUACUGUAGAGAAUAUACAAUUCAGAGACACACUGACCUAGGCUUUAAUCCUUAUUCACAUACUGACUAGCUUUGUGACCUUGGGCAAGUUCCUUAGCCUCUCUGAGCCUGCUUCUUCUAUUAAAACAAAAAAUAGGUAUAGUAAGAUAACAUAAAACAAUAGCUGCUUGACAAAUGUUAGUCCCCUCUGCUGAGAUAGCACAUAUGUGGAUUGACAGGAAAGCAGGCUGAGUGCAGUCUGGACAGCAGGACAAGUGAACCAUAGAGUUAGUGGGUCUGCCUGUCUCUUUAAUGGGUCAAGGCCAACCUAUUUGGCAGGUCUCCUAAGAAAGAUGAGCUGCUUUGAAAUUGUAUCUUGGGCAGAGCUUUGGUUGCUUCUUCAUUUCUAUGCUUCUGACUUCCCUGCUUACAGCUGGCAGGGACAGCUACUCUGGAAGCUCAGGGGCUGCAUGUCUGUGAUAGAAGGAUGAGCAGCUGCUGCUUGUUAAAGUAGGGGGGUUGUUUGGGAGGCAGGCAAGUGACAUAAAAACAGUAUAUGGAAAUCCCCAAACCCCACUGUUAAAAUGAUGUCAGGGGUCCAAAUCAUGUCCAUGGAGUGACCUCAGUGACAUUUCUUCUCCAAAUACUCUAGCUCUUUACUGAUUUUUUUCCUCUUAACUUAGAAAGGAGGAAAUAAGGUAUAUAUUUGUUGGUCAGAUGAUUUUAAUGAGGUUAAGAAAAAACUGGCUUCCUUCAACAUGCCAUGCAUUUUCAUGCCUCUGUGCCCAUGCUUCUGCUGUUCUCACCACUAGAAAUGCUGUUCUCCCCACUGGAAAUGCUGUUCUCCCUCUACCUGCCUGGUGAAUUCAACCCCUAAACCUCAAAUUAGAGGCCAGCCCUUCUUUGCAUCUUCCCUCCCUGAUGCCACCCUUCCUUCUAGGCUGCCACCAUACUUCAAAGUUAACUUGGUUAUUGUGCUUCACAUACUGAACUGCCUUUGUUUUUUGAGGUCUCUUUACCCUAACAGGGUGAAAGUUUCUCUUGAGGAUCUUUGAUCCCCAAGGGCUUAGCUCAUAAAAGGCACUCAAUAAAUAUUUGUUGAGUGAAAACAUCUCCUUCUCACCAUAUUUGACAAUUUCUAAUUUCUCAUAAAUUUUCAUCAAGUUAUAGCAGCAUAGUAAAAGUCCUUAUGGAUUGAGUCCUUGAUUAGUUCUGGGAGGUUACUGAGCACGCCACCUCUACUUCAGGGGCAAUAGGAGUAAUGGGAGUAAGUGCUAACCCAGCAGCAGGGAGGAAGAAUCAAGGAAUCAUUUGGAAUCCAUAGAGUCACAUUUCUUUCUCUCUUUCUUUCUUUUCUUUCUUUCUUUCUUUCUUUCUUUCCUUCUUUCUUCUUCCUUCCUUUUUUUUUUUUUUUGUUUGACAGAAUCUUGCUCUGUCACCCAGGCUAGAAUGCAGUGGCACAAUUUUGGCUCACCACAGCCUCUGACUCCCAAGUUCAAGAGAUUCUUGUGCCUCAGCCUCCCCAGUAGCUGAGACUACAGGUGCCCGCCACCACGCCCAGCUAAUUUUUAUACUUUUAGUAGAGACAGGGUUUCCACCAUGUUGGCCAGGCUGGUCUCGAACUCCAGCCUCAUUCAGGUGAUCCACCCGCCUCAGCCUCCCAAAGUGCUGCAAUUAUAGGCGUAAGCCACUGUGCCCAACUAACAUUUCUUAGCCUAAUGUUUGCAUACUCCAGCUUUAUCUCUUGGCAGCCCAAAGUAGAUUCCUAGGUUCAACCAGAAGUUCCUUGAAAAUUGUCAGACUUCAUAGAAGUGUGGAGUUGGGAGUCAUGGAUCUAGUACUGUACUUCCACUUACUGGCAAACCCCUUGGGACAGAGUAUUAAGUUUGACAGACUUGGGUUCAAAUCCUGGCUCUGCCACUUAGACCAUCUGUGGGAGCUUGUUACCUCUCUGAGCCUCAGUUUCUUCCAGAUCUAGAAGGAGAAUAAUAUUUAUUUUGAAGGAUUGUUGUCACAACUAACUUGUAAGUGUAUAAAAUGCCUAAUCUAGGUUUGGCACUUCAUGGGUGUUUAAUAGGUGGGAAUUAUAAUUUGGAAACACUGGAGUGGGUGGGAUGAUGAUCUGGGCAAUGUAUUAUUAUUUGUUUACUAUUACCAGAUCCAGAUAUAUGCAGGGGAAAGCCAGCUUAGAAUUCAAAAAGCCACUUUACAUAGCUACUUUUGUUAAAUUGAUGUCAAAUAAAUACAUAAUGAUAUUUGCAGUGUGACUUAAUAAAGGCCUUCAGGGGGUUUUCCAGCUUUCACUGUUAGGAUUUUUUCUGAUAAUAGUCCCAUACUUUCCUACUCUGAUGUGUCCUCACUCAGAAGCACUGUCUGGCUCUCCCCAAAGGGAGCUCGGGACAGUUUCCUGCCUGAGGUGUUCAGGUGAAUUCUGUGCUCACUUUUCCUUUCUCUCUCCUUGUCUGUCUCUCUCACCCUGAGGUCUUAUCUUGUCCUCUGGGAGGUAUGUUAAGUGCUCUGCCAGGCUGCCUGUGCCUGGCCUGUUUUUUCUCACUGCCGGUACCUCUUGGAUUCCAAUUCCAAACAUGGUAUCCAUCUGGGGUCACCCUUUCUUCCGGUGCCAAGAGAGAACACAUUCCAAAUGGAACACAAGUGUGCCUCCCAUGCUGGCUCUCCUCAUUCUGCUUGGGAAAAACAGAGAGCAGGAUGUGGCCGUGUCAUCCCAUGCUGCUGGACUUUUCAGUCCUGUAGUGCUACUUUCCCUUGGGACUAUUUAGGUUUUUCUGCUAAGAACCAAAUUUGGAGACUGUCCCAAGAAACAUGGAACCAAGGAAGCUUGCCAGAGCUCUGCAGGGAGAGCCAGAGCCUUGCUGAGACAGCGGGGGUGGUGGG